RNAcentral lists this ribosomal RNA (457 nucleotides) under Bacillus sp. (in: firmicutes). RNAcentral's name for it is "bacterial SSU rRNA". It matches the Rfam family "Bacterial small subunit ribosomal RNA", at positions 349 to 797 of the family's 1533-position model. The record is from RNAcentral. Lineage: Bacteria; Bacillati; Bacillota; Bacilli; Caryophanales; Bacillaceae.
CAGCAGUAGGGAAUCUUCCGCAAUGGACGAAAGUCUGACGGAGCAACGCCGCGUGAGUGAUGAAGGCUUUCGGGUCGUAAAACUCUGUUGUUAGGGAAGAACAAGUACAAGAGUAACUGCUUGUACCUUGACGGUACCUAACCAGAAAGCCACGGCUAACUACGUGCCAGCAGCCGCGGUAAUACGUAGGUGGCAAGCGUUAUCCGGAAUUAUUGGGCGUAAAGCGCGCGCAGGCGGUUUCUUAAGUCUGAUGUGAAAGCCCACGGCUCAACCGUGGAGGGUCAUUGGAAACUGGGGAACUUGAGUGCAGAAGAGAAAAGCGGAAUUCCACGUGUAGCGGUGAAAUGCGUAGAGAUGUGGAGGAACACCAGUGGCGAAGGCGGCUUUUUGGUCUGUAACUGACGCUGAGGCGCGAAAGCGUGGGGAGCAAACAGGAUUAGAUACCUGGGGUAGUCCA